Molecule: ribosomal RNA, 873 nt
Filed under: Ramularia weigelae
Lineage: Eukaryota; Fungi; Ascomycota; Dothideomycetes; Mycosphaerellales; Mycosphaerellaceae
Description: eukaryotic LSU rRNA
Rfam family: Eukaryotic large subunit ribosomal RNA
Source: RNAcentral
CUUAAGCAUAUCAAUAAGCGGAGGAAAAGAAACCAACAGGGAUUGCCCUAGUAACGGCGAGUGAAGCGGCAACAGCUCAAAUUUGAAAUCUGGCGCAAGCCCGAGUUGUAAUUUGUAGAGGAUGCUUCUAGGUAGCGACCGGUCUAAGUUCCUUGGAACAGGACGUCAUAGAGGGUGAGAAUCCCGUAUGUGACUGGCCCGCACCUUCUACGUAGCUCCUUCGACGAGUCGAGUUGUUUGGGAAUGCAGCUCUAAAUGGGAGGUAAAUUUCUUCUAAAGCUAAAUACCGGCCAGAGACCGAUAGCGCACAAGUAGAGUGAUCGAAAGAUGAAAAGCACUUUGGAAAGAGAGUUAAAAAGCACGUGAAAUUGUUGAAAGGGAAGCGCUUACAACCAGACUUCUGGGCGGUGUUCCGCCGGUCUUCUGACCGGUCUACUCGCCGUCCCGAGGCCAACAUCAUCUGGGACCGCCGGAUAAGACCUUAGGAAUGUGGCUCCCCUCGGGGAGUGUUAUAGCCUGUGGUGAUGCGGCGCGUCUCGGGUGAGGUCCGCGCUUCGGCAAGGAUGUUGGCGUAAUGGUUGUCAGCGGCCCGUCUUGAAACACGGACCAAGGAGUCUAACAUCUAUGCGAGUGUUCGGGUGUCAAACCCCUACGCGUAAUGAAAGUGAACGGAGGUGGGAAGGGCAACCUGCACCAUCGACCGAUCCUGAUGUCCUCGGAUGGAUUUGAGUAAGAGCAUAGCUGUUGGGACCCGAAAGAUGGUGAACUAUGCCUGAAUAGGGUGAAGCCAGAGGAAACUCUGGUGGAGGCUCGCAGCGGUUCUGACGUGCAAAUCGAUCGUCAAAUUUGGGUAUAGGGGCGAAAGACUAAUCG